CCUACGGGGGACAGCAGUGAGGAAUAUUGGUCAAUGGACGCAAGUCUGAACCAGCCAUGCCGCGUGCAGGAAGACGGCUCUAUGAGUUGUAAACUGCUUUUGUACGAGGGUAAACGCAGACACGCGUAUCUGUCUGAAAGUACCGUACGAAUAAGGACCGGCUAACUCCGUGCCAGCAGCCGCGGUAAUACGGAGGAUUCAAGCGUUAUCCGGAUUUAUUGGGUUUAAAGGGGGCGUAGGCGGUCGGAUAAGUUAGAGGUGAAAUCCCGGGGCUCAACUUCGGAAUUGCCGCUGAUACUGGUCGGCUAGAGAGUAGUGGCGGUAGGCGGAA
This 331-nucleotide ribosomal RNA is filed under the name uncultured bacterium. Its description in RNAcentral is "partial 16S ribosomal RNA". It matches the Rfam family "Bacterial small subunit ribosomal RNA", at positions 338 to 666 of the family's 1533-position model. The record is from RNAcentral.